CUAGGAUUCCCUUAGUAACGGCGAGUGAAGAGGGAAAAGCUCAAAUUUUGAAUCUGGGGUCUUUGACUCCCGAGUUGUAAUCUAGAGAAGUGUUUUCCGUGUCGGACCGUGCACAAGUUCCCUGGAACGGGGCAUCAUAGAGGGUGAAAAUCCCGUAGAUGGCAUGGACUUCCCGAUGCUUUUGCGAUACACUCUCAACGAGUCGAGUUGUUUGGGAAUGCAGCUCAAAAUGGGUGGUAAAUUCCAUCUAAAGCUAAAUAUUGGCGAGAGACCGAUAGCGAACAAGUACCGUGAGGGAAAGAUGAAAAGCACUUUGGAAAGAGAGUGAAACAGUACGUGAAAUUGUUGAAAGGGAAGCGUUUGAAGUCAGUCAUAUCUGGCGGGAUUCAGCCUGGCCUCGGCCUGGUGGACUUCUCGUCCGAUGGGUCAGCAUCAAUUUUGACAGGGGGAAAAAGGCAUGCGGAAUGUGGCUGUCUUCGGGCAGUGUUAUAGCCGUGUGUUGUAUGCCUCUGUUGGGAUUGAGGAACGCAGCGCGCCCUGUGGCCAGGGGUUCGCCUCUUGACACGCGCUUAGGAUGCUGGCAUAAUGACUUUAAGCGACCCGUCUUGAAACACGGACCAAGGAGUCUAACAUGUGCGCGAGUGUUUGGGUGUC
RNAcentral lists this ribosomal RNA (654 nucleotides) under uncultured Sebacinales. Its description in RNAcentral is "eukaryotic LSU rRNA". It matches the Rfam family "Eukaryotic large subunit ribosomal RNA", at positions 69 to 702 of the family's 3401-position model. Lineage: Eukaryota; Fungi; Basidiomycota; Agaricomycetes; Sebacinales. The record is from RNAcentral.